RNAcentral lists this long non-coding RNA (3297 nucleotides) under Heterocephalus glaber (naked mole-rat). RNAcentral's name for it is "lncRNA (ENSHGLG00000043067.1)". Lineage: Eukaryota; Metazoa; Chordata; Mammalia; Rodentia; Bathyergidae. The record is from RNAcentral.
CUCCAGCCGCUCCAGCCGGUCCCAGUCGAUCCAGCGGAAAAAGCCGUGCGCCCGGAUUGUGGGUUCCCCGUCGGGCCCGGAGCCCAGGCGCUUUGCUGGGUGUUUGGUCAAGAACUGGGGGAAACACGAAGAAGGACAGUGCGAUGGACAGGAGGCCCAGAGAACGGAGGAAACGACAAAGAAUGGCAGAGGGACAGAGCAACACGGGCACGGAGACCAGAGGGAGAACAGAGGGGGAGGAGCAGAAAGAGGAGGGAGGAGAAUGUGGGAGUGGAGUGGGAAUGGGAAGAGGCGAACUCCAGCCCCAGGGACCCGGGGGUGGGCAGAGAACGAGAAGAAAAUCAAAGCGUGAGGGUUCGAGGGGCAGAGAAAGCCAGGAAGAGAGGAAGGAGACAUGGGACAUCCCCGAAAGGGAAGGAAGAAGAAGAGGGCAGAGAGGGUUGGACACGCGGAGAAAAGGAGGAAGAGAGACCCAGAGAGGGAAGGGCAGACGCCAAGCAUGGGGAGACACUGGCAAGAGGUGCACACAGGAAACCCCAGCAGGCGUAGAGAGGCAGAGGCAGGAGACAGAGACCCGGAGAUGGUGGUCAGAGGGCCGGCCGAGGCGCAGGAGCAGAGGCAGAAGGGUGCAAACCUCCCACACCAGCUCCGAGACUGCACGAGAGGGGACCACGGUGUGGAGCUGUGGGACUUAGGGCUAUCGGACCCUCACCGCCACCCCCAGGCCAGGAGAGGCAGGGGCUGGCAGCGGCCGGGCGGGGGCCCAGACUCAGACAGGGUGGUAGCGACCUGGCAAAGUAACGAUCCAUCAACAUGUCCGACAGAGGCAAGCCCAGGGGCUGGGGAAGGGAGGCUUCCCAGAAGGGCUGGCCACGUGGAGUGUGGGUGACCCGGGGGCGCAGAGGGGCUCUCACCCCCUUGCAGAUGGCCACAGCUUCCCGGGAAAGUGACUUGGGAUAGGUGACUGUCUGCUCCAUGAUGGCCUGAAACAGCUCCUCCUCAUCCUCCCCGUCAAAGGGCGGCUAUGAGAGUGGAGCGAGGGAGGUCAGAGACUCAAACUUCCACCAUCGUCGGACCGUGACCAGGACCAACUGCUGACCCCGACAGCUCCGGAGGGCAGACCACACCACCAAGCCCCCAUCGCCCCAGCCUUCCGCCUCCAGGCCUCAUCCUGCACCUCGCUGCUCCCUGGCCCUCUUUGUCUGCAAGUGCCUUCUCCACAUUAGCUCAGCGGCCCCUUCUUCUGGGGCAAGGGAGGCUCCUGAGGGCAGAGGUUCGUAAUUUGAAGUUCAGCUGGUCCGUGGCCACCACCGAGGGGGCUGUGCAACAGGAUGGGAAAACUGGCAUCUUACUUAGCUCGGUGCCAGCUGAAGGUCAGAUUUCCCCCGAUUAAGAAUGCAGGCAGGGCCAGGGAUUUAGCUCCAUGGUUUGGCCGCCUGCUGUGCAAGCGCAAGUACCUGAGUUCAAUCCCGGGUACCAAAGAAAAAAAGAAUGCAGGCAACAAACUGCCACAGCUGCACUUGCAUCUUUACCACCAAUAGCAGCCACAGGUAUUUCCAAUUAUCGCUCCUGCCUCACACUCACUGCAAGACCUUCCUUUUUAUUUUGUAUUACUGUGAGAGCACAUAAGAACCUGAACAUGUUCCCAUAUUCCAACUUCUAAUAUUUAGAUAGCUUAUAUAUUUAAUUUAAUUAGGUUAGACUAAUUGGACUUUAAGUUUUGGUAACUAUAUUUCUUUUUUUCUUUUUUUGGUAUCGGGAUUGAACUCGGGACCUUGCGCUUGUGAGGCAGGCGCCUGAACCACUGAGCUAGAUCCCCGGCCCCUGUUAACUAUAUUCCAAUGGCUGCUUGCUUGCUUGCUUGCUUUCUUUUUUUGGUACAGGGAACGAACUAUCAAUGAUUGCUUUCUUUUGUCACCUAUUUUAUUUCGUGAACAUGAAAAUAUUAUUUUGGGAAGGAGUUCAUAGGUUUGGCCAGACCACUAGCAACAGAUUGAGAACCCUGGGCCCGUGCAGCAAAAUAAGGCUUCAGAACCUCGGACAGCGGCGCCCAGCCCACCUCGGCGGCCCGGGAGAACUAUGGGCCCCUCCUGGCCCCGCCGUUCCCGACCCAGGGCUCCCUCCGCAGCCAGCACCUCCCCGUCCACCCCACCGUCCUUACCUGCCCUGCCAACAUUUCGUAGAGCAGCACCCGGAAGGACCACCAAUCGACGGACUUCCCAUAGGGCUGGUAGGCAAUGAUCUGAGGAGAGGGCAUGGCCAGGAGUGACCAUCUUCCCCAGGAACCCGGCUCUCGGGCCUCACACCCAGGACACCCACCGCAAGUGCUUUCCACGCAAGCUCCUCCCACUCUGAACAUUUCGUCUAGAGCUCCGCCCUUUGGAAAAUUCAGGAAACAAAGUUUACCUACAUAGAAUGUUUCGUGUUUUGUUUGGCUUGGAUUUUGGUACUGGAGAUUGAACUCGGGACCUUGCACUUUAGAGGCAGGCGGCGGAACCACUGAGCUAAAUCCCUGGCCCUGAACGUUUCUUUAUUCUCAGAUAUAAAAGCUAUUUAAGGUCUGAGUCACAAGUUCCACCCACUUAGGAUCUUUUUGUAACUGGACCUUCCCUUCCAGUUGGGCCUGGGGCUACAUCUCAGAGACCAGAGAUUCUUAAACCUGAACCAACAGCAGGGUCAUUGAAGGACUUUUAUUUUUAUUUAUUCAUUUUUAAAUUUUAUUUUAUUUGGUACCAGGAACUGAGCUCAGGACCUUGCACUUUCGAGGCAGGUGGCAGAACCACUGAGCUAAAUCCCUGGCUUCAGGACUUUUAUUUUUAGACAAGGUCUUGCUAUGUAGUUCAGACUGGCCUAGAACUUGUGGUGACCCUCCUGCCUCAGCCUCCUGGGUGCUCUGAUUACAGGUGUGUGCCACCACACCUGGCUAGUUUUUUUUUCAUCAAAGGACUUUUUGAAAAAUAGAUGUUCCCAUUCCUGAAGAGUCCUGGGUUCCAUAAGCCAGAGUUACAGUCAGAAAAAUAUGUAUCAUUUUCUAAGUUUCUGAAGGUGAUUCUCUUACCAGUUUUACAACCACUGACACUGAUUAUUUGGGCACUUGCAUCAACCAACUAAGAAGACUGAGGGCCAACAUCCCCAUACAACUUGCUGUCCAACUUAGGAAGUCAGGAACACACACCACCCAUCUCCAGUCUGCCAAGAACUGAUGCCCCUCUGCCAUGUGCCACCCUACCUUGGAGCCAGCUGAUUAUGGACUGCAACCUCUACAAACUGCGAGCUAAAUAAACCUUUCUCCUUUAA